RNAcentral lists this ribosomal RNA (235 nucleotides) under uncultured bacterium. Its description in RNAcentral is "partial 16S ribosomal RNA". It matches the Rfam family "Bacterial small subunit ribosomal RNA", at positions 118 to 347 of the family's 1533-position model. The record is from RNAcentral.
UGAGCAAUCUGCCCUUCUCUUCGGAAUAAGCCUUGGAAACGACGUCUAAUGCCGAAUACGACCUCCUUUCGCAUGAUCGGAGGUGGAAAGCUCCGGCGGAGAAGGAUGAGCUCGCGGCCUAUCAGCUAGUUGGUGUGGGUAAUGGCCCACCAAGGCGACGACGGGUAGCCGGCCUGAGAGGGUGACCGGCCACAGUUGGGACUGAGACACGGCCCAGACCUCCCGUACGGGGAGG